Molecule: RNase P RNA, 388 nt
Filed under: Mucilaginibacter gossypii
Lineage: Bacteria; Pseudomonadati; Bacteroidota; Sphingobacteriia; Sphingobacteriales; Sphingobacteriaceae
Also listed under: 1 other name
Description: RNase P RNA component class A
Rfam family: Bacterial RNase P class A
About the family: Ribonuclease P (RNase P) is a ubiquitous endoribonuclease, found in archaea, bacteria and eukarya as well as chloroplasts and mitochondria. Its best characterised activity is the generation of mature 5'-ends of tRNAs by cleaving the 5'-leader elements of precursor-tRNAs. Cellular RNase Ps are ribonucleoproteins.
Source: RNAcentral
CCCGCAAAACGUUCUAUCGCUGCCAGCUUGUUUGGCGGAGGAAAGUCCGGGCAACAUAGAGCAUCCUGCUUCCUAACGGGAAGGCGCCGGCAGCCGGCGACAGCAAAGUGCCACAGAGAAAAUACCGCCCGCUUAGGUGGGUAAGGGUGAAAACGUGAGGUAAGAGCUCACGGCAUAACCGGGCGACCGGCUAUGACGGUAAACCUCAGGAGUUGAAAAACCAAAUAGGUCCUGAAAGCGGAGUUGCUCGCUCCCGUAUCUGCCGCAAGGUAGGUCGUUAGGAUGGGUAGGUUGUUUAAACCUGUUAGUGAUAACAGGGCCAGAUAAAUGAUAGAAGUUGCCCUUUAAAAAGGCAAAACAGAACCCGGCUUAUAGGUUUGCUGCUGUA